AGUGAACGCUGGCGGUAGGCCUAACACAUGCAAGUCGAACGGCAGCACAGUAAGAGCUUGCUCUUACGGGUGGCGAGUGGCGGACGGGUGAGGCAUACAUCGGAAUCUACUUUUUCGUGGGGGAUAACGUAGGGAAACUUACGCUAAUACCGCAUACGUCCUACGGGUGAAAGCAGGGGAGCUUCGGACCUUGCGCGUUUGAAUGAGCCGAUGACGGAUUAGCUAGUUGGCGGGGUAAAGGCCCACCAAGGCGACGAUCCGUAGCUGGUCUGAGAGGAUGAUCAGCCACACUGGAACUGAGACACGGUCCAGACUCCUACGGGAGGCAGCAGUGGGGAAUAUUGGACAAUGGGCGCAAGCCUGAUCCAGCCAUACCGCGUGGGUGAAGAAGGCCUUCGGGUUGUAAAGCCCUUUUGUUGGGAAAGAAAAGCAGCAGGUUAAUACCCCGCUGUUCUGACGGUACCCAAAGAAUAAGCACCGGCUAACUUCGUG
RNAcentral lists this ribosomal RNA (492 nucleotides) under uncultured bacterium. Its description in RNAcentral is "partial 16S ribosomal RNA". It matches the Rfam family "Bacterial small subunit ribosomal RNA", at positions 29 to 507 of the family's 1533-position model. The record is from RNAcentral.